Molecule: transfer RNA, 96 nt
Filed under: Streptomyces griseosporeus
Lineage: Bacteria; Bacillati; Actinomycetota; Actinomycetes; Kitasatosporales; Streptomycetaceae
Description: tRNA-Gly
Source: RNAcentral
CAGGGAGUGGUCGGGGUUCAGCGGGUCGACGACCAGGCCGGGGUCGGCGACGGACACCUUGUCGGCGCCGCCGGUCGUGCCCACGACCGUCCCGGC